This is a small nucleolar RNA of Ornithorhynchus anatinus (platypus), 138 nucleotides long. The record is from RefSeq and is a predicted model, not a curated record. Lineage: Eukaryota; Metazoa; Chordata; Mammalia; Monotremata; Ornithorhynchidae.
UGCCUCUCAGGGUGGCACCUGGAGAGUUUUCGGUACUCUACCACUCUCGACUAUGAGAGGGAGAGUCAAGCAGAGGCCUGACCAUUCCAUUCCUAGUUUGGGUAGUAGCUAGCAAGUGGAAGGCAAUCUGCAACAAGU